CUGAUGUUGUGGCAGUUCCGGGCAGUUGUUUGCGGUGGUGGUUACUUCCAUCUUUCUCUGCCCAUUAUCCCCACAACUUCCAUCAGUCUCCUAGAAACCUGGUAGUGCUCUCAAAUUCAGUUUACGCUUGCAAGCAGUUGACGACGGUUCCCCACGCUCCCGUAAUUUUUGAAAAAUUAGGUGAAUGAAGAUGGUAGACAUGUCCCUACGAUUGAAGGAGUGAGCAGGGGUCGAUUUAAUUGGUCUAGGGCCAUACCCAUGAGUUCAAGAUGUUCUUCCAAUUGUUGUUACAAAAAUCACCCCUAAAUUCAAUGAUUGAGUUCGAUUGGUCAUGCUUAAGGUUUCAUUAGAAAUGUUUGAAACCUUGAGCAGAAGAAACCAAAAUGGUUUUCUCCAAAGCCAAGGAAAUUGUUUCCUCAAAUCCCCUUAUCAUAUCCAGGGUAACUACAAAACAAAAUGAGGUAGAGAUGAAGGCUUUCACACCGUGACUAAACUUCAAGGACUAUUUUGGCAGUUUACUCUUUUUAUUAUAAAGUUUCUUUCAGCUUACUUAGACUACGGGUUAUGGAGGGGCUUGGGUUGGGGGCAUUGCUGGCGAGUGUGGGAUCCACAAGAUAAUAUUCAAAACAAGGGGUGUGGUGUGGUCUAGCCAGCGUUGCUUGGCAACCGCCGCCCCAACCCACGGUCUUAGUUCUGACUUUGUACAGAGUGUUCGGUUACAUGUAAAAUUAUGGCUCCCAAAUGCUCAUUUGUUAUGGAAUGCCUUGCAGCAACAGCAAGUACAGAUAUAAAACCUAGUGGAGAAAUUAUGGUUUUGGAUAGAUUUUCUCAUGCGAGUUUAAUAAUUUGAUACCUUGAUUGCUACACUUUAAUUUUAAUUGUUGCUUGCUAAUAUGAUUUUUAACAGUUCCACAGUUUCAUGGAGGUUGAACAUCUUCCGGUUAUUUCACCCUCACAACAUCAAAAGGAGAGUGUUGCUUGCCUUGCUGAGAGGAUUGGGAAUCAGCUCAUGGAAACUACAAUGAUCAUGUCAAUACACAUAGCUUUAAUUGUCUAUAAGCAUGCCGUUGAAAUAUGGAAGCUUAUUGAUGAAACUUGGACAAAGGUGUUUGCUCAUCCGGAUGUUGUGUGUAUAUCAUUGUCGGUGAAGUCAUUUUUUUCUAAUAUGUGAAUUCAAAUGGCAAAUGCCUUGUGAUACUAGAGUGGAGAGAUUUCUUUUGUCUACCAUUUACUUUUGCAUGAAAAUGAUGGUGAUACUAUUCAUAUUUCAGUAGUUUACCAAUUUUAUUAUUCCUUUA
Molecule: long non-coding RNA, 1298 nt
Organism: Helianthus annuus (common sunflower)
Lineage: Eukaryota; Viridiplantae; Streptophyta; Magnoliopsida; Asterales; Asteraceae
Exons: 8
Source: RefSeq, a predicted model, not a curated record